RNAcentral lists this ribosomal RNA (72 nucleotides) under Meliola thailandicum. RNAcentral's name for it is "5.8S ribosomal RNA". The record is from RNAcentral. Lineage: Eukaryota; Fungi; Ascomycota; Sordariomycetes; Meliolales; Meliolaceae.
CACAUUGCGCCUGUCAGCCCUUUCUGGCAGGCAUGCCUGUCCGAGCGUCGUCGUCCAUCUUUUCAGGCCUUU